Molecule: ribosomal RNA, 253 nt
Filed under: uncultured bacterium
Lineage: Bacteria
Description: partial 16S ribosomal RNA
Rfam family: Bacterial small subunit ribosomal RNA
Source: RNAcentral
UACGAAGGGGGCUAGCGUUGCUCGGAAUCACUGGGCGUAAAGCGCACGUAGGCGGUUUCCUAAGUCAGGGGUGAAAUCCUGGAGCUCAACUCCAGAACUGCCUUUGAUACUGGCGGACUUGAGUCCGGGAGAGGUGAGUGGAACUGCGAGUGUAGAGGUGAAAUUCGUAGAUAUUCGCAAGAACACCAGUGGCGAAGGCGGCUCACUGGCCCGGUACUGACGCUGAGGUGCGAAAGCGUGGGGAGCGAACAGG